AUUGAACGCUGGCGGCAGGCCUAACACAUGCAAGUCGAACGAGUGGCGGACGGGUGAGUAAUGUCUGGGAAACUGCCUGAUGGCGGGGGAUAACUACUGGAAACGGUAGCUAAUACCGCAUACCAUCGGAUGUUCCCAGAUGGGAUUAGCUAGUAGGUGGGGUAAAGGCUCACCUAGGCGACGAUCCCUAGUUGGUCUGAGAGGAUGAAAGGGCACACUGGAACUGAGACACGGUCCAGAUUCCUAGGGGAGGCAGCAGUGGGGAAUAUUGAAGAAUGGGCGCAAGCCUGAUGCAGCCAUGCCGCGGGUGUGAAGAAGGCCUUCGGGUUGUAAAGCACUUUCGGCGGGGAGGCGUUACCCGCAGAAGAAGCACCGGCUAACUCCGUGCCAGCAGCCGCGGUAAUAC
This 406-nucleotide ribosomal RNA is filed under the name uncultured bacterium. Its description in RNAcentral is "partial 16S ribosomal RNA". It matches the Rfam family "Bacterial small subunit ribosomal RNA", at positions 30 to 526 of the family's 1533-position model. The record is from RNAcentral.